This 1207-nucleotide long non-coding RNA is filed under the name Lathyrus oleraceus (garden pea). RNAcentral's name for it is "Pisum sativum (pea) long non-coding RNA (PSAT_LNC012464)". The record is from RNAcentral. Lineage: Eukaryota; Viridiplantae; Streptophyta; Magnoliopsida; Fabales; Fabaceae.
UCAUAUUUUUUUAACAUGCAAAAAGGAGAAAAAAAUGAUUGAACUUCUCAAAUUUAUUUAUGCUAUCAUUCUAUUUAUUUCUCUACUUGUUGGUGUGAAAUGUUUACGUAAGUCAUUUUUUCAUUCUUUUUUAAUUUGUGCACAGUUUUUUAUCAUGUUUUAACGAUAUUUUUUUCUCUAUUUUUAAUUACAGCAACUUUACGUGAAUGCGAAUCUGAUGAUGAUUGUCCAAAAGAUAUUUUUUAUCUUUUAAUUACGAAGUGCAUUGAUUACAAGUGUGUAGUUAUUAACUCUGGAUAUCCAUUGUCCAUGCCCUAGCGAGUACAAAGAUUUCAUGAAGGAUAAAAUUUGAGUAAUGUGAUGGAACUCAACACCUUUUUUUUUUUGUAUAGUUUAAUUUCUAACUACACAAACUUGAAGAUGUGUCUUGUAAUCAAUAAUAAGGAUCAUGUAAAGAAAUAACACAACCGAGUGUUAAAUAUAAAUUAUUAUUUUCUCUCUUAAUUUUGGAUAUAUCACUAUGGUUUCUAUUAUAGGUUGUCCGCAAGGUUCAAUAAAAUAAAAAAAAAAAGGUCUAAUUGCUACUUUGAGACCAUCCAGCCAAUUGCUACUUUGAGAAAUCGUUUGACUAUAUCAAAUAAUAGAUAUCUUUUACAAUUGGAUUGACUUGAAUCUUUGUGACCUUGGAUAGUUAAUCUCAAAGUGGAAAUUAGGCCCUUUGUUUAUUGGACUUGGUUGAUGGCCUAGAACAGUUACCCUUAAGGUUUGUCAUGGCAUAACAAAUGAGAAGACUUUGCAGAAAUUGGGUUAGCUACUUUACACCGGGAAGGGAAAAGGCUUGGGAGUCGGCACAAGGAGCUUAAAAACGGAUGCAUUAAAUGCUAGUCUCAUCAUUGAGACAUUUGACAAGACCUUUAUGACACAUUGCCCUAUGUUUCUAGGCUAAGGGGUGACGCUUCCUUCUAGGAUGCUUAAUUGCACUUAACUACCGUGUCGCCAUGGGUUCAAUUCUCAUAAACGGUGUAAUUAUUCCUUUCAAGAACCAGAAUUGUUGAUGAGCUGAUGAGGUGGACUCUCAACACGGUGGUGCGGGCCUUUGAUGCAAUAGCGCAGGGACGUAUUUAAAAGGUUAAUACUCCAACGUCCAAGUUAAUUAUUGAGUUAAAAAUAAGUAGAUUGGAUUCUGGUAAAAAUUAUACCUCUGGUU